AGUGAACGCUGGCGGUAGGCCUAACACAUGCAAGUCGAACGGCAGCACAGUAAGAGCUUGCUCUUACGGGUGGCGAGUGGCGGACGGGUGAGGAAUACAUCGGAAUCUACUUUUUCGUGGGGGAUAACGUAGGGAAACUUACGCUAAUACCGCAUACGACCUACGGGUGAAAGCAGGGGAUCUUCGGACCUUGCGCGAUUGAAUGAGCCGAUGUCGGAUUAGCUAGUUGGCGGGGUAAAGGCCCACCAAGGCGACGAUCCGUAGCUGGUCUGAGAGGAUGAUCAGCCACACUGGAACGGGAACACGGUCCAGACUCCUACGGGAGGCAGCAGUGGGGAAUAUUGGACAAUGGGCGCAAGCCUGAUCCAGCCAUACCGCGUGGGUGAAGAAGGCCUUCGGGUUGUAAAGCCCUUUUGUUGGGAAAGAAAAGCAGCAGGUUAAUACCCCGCUGUUCUGACGGUACCCAAAGAAUAAGCACCGGCUAACUUCGUG
Molecule: ribosomal RNA, 492 nt
Filed under: uncultured bacterium
Lineage: Bacteria
Description: partial 16S ribosomal RNA
Rfam family: Bacterial small subunit ribosomal RNA
Source: RNAcentral